Molecule: ribosomal RNA, 254 nt
Filed under: uncultured bacterium
Lineage: Bacteria
Description: partial 16S ribosomal RNA
Rfam family: Bacterial small subunit ribosomal RNA
Source: RNAcentral
UACGUAGGGGCCUAGCGUUGUCCGGAAUUAUUGGGCGUAAAGAGCUCGUAGGCGGUUCGGCAAGUCGGAUGUGAAAUCUCCACGCUUAACGUGGAGGGGCCAUUCGAAACUGCCGUGACUCGAGUCCGGUAGGGGAGUGUGGAAUUCCCGGUGUAGCGGUGAAAUGCGCAGAUAUCGGGAGGAACACCAGUAGCGAAGGCGGCACACUGGGCCGGUACUGACGCUGAGGAGCGAAAGCGUGGGGAGCGAACAGG